RNAcentral lists this ribosomal RNA (568 nucleotides) under uncultured bacterium. RNAcentral describes it as "bacterial SSU rRNA". It matches the Rfam family "Bacterial small subunit ribosomal RNA", at positions 355 to 916 of the family's 1533-position model. The record is from RNAcentral.
UGGGGAAUUUUGGACAAUGGGGGCAACCCUGAUCCAGCAAUGCCGCGUGAGUGAAGAAGGCCUUCGGGUUGUAAAGCUCUUUUGUCAGGGAAGAAACGGUGGGGGUUAAUACCUUCUGCUAAUGACGGUACCUGAAGAAUAAGCACCGGCUAACUACGUGCCAGCAGCCGCGGUAAUACGUAGGGUGCAAGCGUUAAUCGGAAUUACUGGGCGUAAAGCGUGCGCAGGCGGUUGUGCAAGACCGAUGUGAAAUCCCCGGGCUUAACCUGGGAAUGGCAUUGGUGACUGCACGGCUAGAGUGUGUCAGAGGGGGGUAGAAUUCCACGUGUAGCAGUGAAAUGCGUAGAGAUGUGGAGGAAUACCGAUGGCGAAGGCAGCCCCCUGGGAUAACACUGACGCUCAUGCACGAAAGCGUGGGGAGCAAACAGGAUUAGAUACCCUGGUAGUCCACGCCCUAAACGAUGUCUACUAGUUGUCGGGUCUUCAUUGACUUGGUAACGCAGCUAACGCGUGAAGUAGACCGCCUGGGGAGUACGGUCGCAAGAUUAAAACUCAAAGGAAUUGACGG